UGUCGGGUAAGUUCCGACCUGCACGAAUGGCGUAACGACUUCUCAACUGUCUCAACCAUAGACUCGGCGAAAUUGCACUACGAGUAAAGAUGCUCGUUACGCGCGGCAGGACGAAAAGACCCCGGGACCUUCACUAUAGCUUGGUAUUGGCGUUUGGUUCGGUUUGUGUAGGAUAGGUGGGAGACUGUGAAGCAGGCACGCCAGUGUUUGUGGAGUCAUCGUUGAAAUACCACUCUGAUCGUAUUGAACCUCUAACCUCGGACCGUAUAUCCGGUCCAGGGACAGUGCCUGGUGGGUAGUUUAACUGGGGCGGUUGCCUCCCAAAAUGUAACGGAGGCGCCCAAAGGUUCCCUCAACCUGGACGGCAAUCAGGUGUUGAGUGCAAGUGCACAAGGGAGCUUGACUGCGAGACCUACAAGUCAAGCAGGGACGAAAGUCGGGACUAGUGAUCCGGCACCUCUGAGUGGAAGGGGUGUCGCUCAACGGAUAAAAGGUACCCCGGGGAUAACAGGCUGAUCUUCCCCAAGAGUCCAUAUCGACGGGAUGGUUUGGCACCUCGAUGUCGGCUCGUCGCAUCCUGGGGCUGGAGCAGGUCCCAAGGGUUGGGCUGUUCGCCCAUUAAAGCGGCACGCGAGCUGGGUUUAGAACGUCGUGAGACAGUUCGGUCUCUAUCCGCCGCGCGCGUCAGAAACUUGAGGAAACCUGUCCCUAGUACGAGAGGACCGGGACGGACGAACCUCUGGUGUACCAGUUGUUCCACCAGGAGCACGGCUGGAUAGCUACGUUCGGACAGGAUAACCGCUGAAAGCAUCUA
RNAcentral lists this ribosomal RNA (814 nucleotides) under Mycobacteroides abscessus subsp. abscessus. RNAcentral describes it as "bacterial LSU rRNA". It matches the Rfam family "Bacterial large subunit ribosomal RNA", at positions 1970 to 2783 of the family's 2925-position model. Lineage: Bacteria; Bacillati; Actinomycetota; Actinomycetes; Mycobacteriales; Mycobacteriaceae. The record is from RNAcentral.